This 1548-nucleotide ribosomal RNA is filed under the name Triticum aestivum (bread wheat). Its description in RNAcentral is "partial small subunit ribosomal RNA". The record is from RNAcentral. Lineage: Eukaryota; Viridiplantae; Streptophyta; Magnoliopsida; Poales; Poaceae.
AUGGCGGACCACAAGAAACCGGCAGACCAGCAGAACAAGAGGCAGCGGGUUUCCGAGAACGCCGAGAGCAGCAGCAAGAAGUUCAGCAUCAAGGAGGUAGUUGGCUCGGGGGUCACGGGGACGCGGCCGUUUGCAUCGCCCAGUCCAGUUGCCAAGGCAAAGCCAAUCGCGGUGGUGAAGCCAACGGCCGCUAUGGUGGCAGUAACCGGUCCAGUGGCCACCAUGGCACCGGCAUCGGCGGAGCCCAGUCCGGUUGCCAAGGCGAAGCCAACGGCCGCUACGGUGACAGUGACCGGUCCAGUGGCCACCAUGGCACCGGCACCGCCCAGUCCGGUUGCCAUGAAGAUGCCUACGCCGGCGGCGCCCAGUCCCGUGGUCACCAUGGCACCGGCAACGGCACCGCCCAGUCCAAUGGCCACCAUGACACCGGCGCAGGUGGCGCCCAGUCCGGUGGCUACGAAGACGCCGGCGCCGGCGGAGCCCAGUGCAGUGGCCACCAUGGCACCGGCACAGGUGGUGCCCAGUCAGGUGGACACGAAGACGCCGGCGCCAGCGGAGCCCAGUGCAGUGGCCACGAAGACCCCGGCGCCGGCGGCUCCCAGCCCAGUUGCUACGGCGAUGCCGGCCGCCGUGGUGAACCCGCCGGCCACGGUGAAGCAUGAGCCGGAAGACGGAGGGGUGCUCGAACUCGACGAACAAGUAACAGCAGCCAUGGUAGCCGUGGCACCAGCGGAAGAGGAGGCCGCCAUCUUAGAGGUGAAGAAGAAGUGGCUUCACUGCGCCGCGUGCCCUGCUCCCCUCAAGCGUCCCAUAUUCAUGUGCGGGAAUGGACACGUCGUGUGCUGCGCCUGCGGCGGCGGCGGCAAUGGCAAUGGCGACGGCGGAGCGAACAAGCACUGUGAUUUGUGCGGCCGCGCCACCGCCUACACCCACAUCCCCUACAUGGACGGCCUGGUCGACGCGUACCAGGUGCCGUGCCCCUACAGGAAUUUCGGCUGCGCGAGGUCCAUCGCCUACCACUCGGCCGCGGAGCACCUGGACAAGUGCGCGCACGCGCCCUGCUACUGCUUCGAGUGCGCGUUCCAGGGCUCGCCGGCAAGCCUCCUGCGCCACCUCACGGAGGAGUCCGGCCGGCAUUGUUGGCCCAUGGAGAAGAUCAAGUACCAGAUCUGCCGCCCGCUCGUCGUGCCGGCGUCGGAGCACCGCCUUCUGCUUGUGGCGGAGGAGGACGGCCGCGUGUUCCUCCUGGCCGUGGGCGCGGGGAGGGGCGCCGCCGGCGUCCGCCCCGUCAACGUCGUGUGCGUCAGGGGCAAUGUCGACGCCGACGCGAGGCCGGUGUACACAGGCGUGCUCUGGGUGGAUGGCCCUCCGGCCGCCGCAGGCCACCUCAGGAGCAGCUUCCAGCUGAAAGGCGACGUGGCGAACUGCGGAGUCCCCGGCGAGGUGGACAUGGAGCACGGGCGCCUCCAUGCGCAUGUCAAUCCGGAGAUGCUGCACGGGGAGUCCAAAGAGAUUCAUCUGCGCAUUUGCAUUACCAAGUUCUGGUGA